GGGAAGUAAAAGUCGUAACAAGGUCUCCGUUGGUGAACCAGCGGAGGGAUCAUUACAGAGUUUUCAACUCCCAAACCCUUAUGUGAACAUACCAAGAUGUUGCUUCGGCGGACUCGCCCCGGCGUCCGGACGGCCUAGCGCCGCCCGCAGCCCGGACUCAGGCGGCCGCCGGAGACCACCAAACUCUUUUGUAUCAUGAGUAUCUUCUGAAUCCGCCGCAAGGCAAAACAAAUGAAUCAAAACUUUCAACAACGGAUCUCUUGGUUCUGGCAUCGAUGAAGAACGCAGCGAAAUGCGAUAAGUAAUGUGAAUUGCAGAAUUCAGUGAAUCAUCGAAUCUUUGAACGCACAUUGCGCCCGCCAGCAUUCUGGCGGGCAUGCCUGUUCGAGCGUCAUUUCAACCCUCGACUUCCCUUUGGGGAAAUCGGCGUUGGGGACCGGCAGCAUACCGCCGGCCCCGAAAUGGAGUGGCGGCCCGUCCGCGGCGACCUCUGCGUAGUAAUCCAACCUCGCACCGGAACCCCGACGUGGCCACGCCGUAAAACACCCCACUUUCUGAACGUUGACCUCGGAUCAGGUAGGAAUACCCGCUGAACUUAAGCAUAUCAAUAAGCGGAGGA
This 619-nucleotide ribosomal RNA is filed under the name Paracorniculantispora psalliotae. RNAcentral's name for it is "eukaryotic LSU rRNA". The stretch from base 241 to 394 matches the Rfam family "5.8S ribosomal RNA". Lineage: Eukaryota; Fungi; Ascomycota; Sordariomycetes; Hypocreales; Cordycipitaceae. The record is from RNAcentral.